AUUGAACGCUGGCGGCAUGCUUUACACAUGCAAGUCGAACGGUAACAGCACUUCGGUGGCUGACGAGUGGCGAACGGGUGAGUAAUACAUCGGAACGUGCCUAGUAGUGGGGGAUAACUACUCGAUAGAGUAGCUAAUACCGCAUGAGAUCUAAGGAUGAAAGCAGGGGAGCUUCGGGCCUUUCGCUACUAGAGCGGCUGAUGGCAGAUUAGGUAGUUGGUGGGAUAAAAGCUUACCAAGCCGACGAUCUGUAGCUGGUCUGAGAGGACGACCAGCCACACGAGGACUGAGACACGGCCCAGACUCCUACGGGAGGCAGCAGUGGGGAAUUUUGGACAAUUGGCGCAAGCCUGAUCCAGCAAUGCCGCGUGCAGGAUGAAGGCCUUCGGGUUGUAGACUGCUUUUGUACGGAACGAAAAGCCCUCUUCUAAUACAGGAGGGUCAUGACGGUACCUUAAGAAUAAGCACCGGCUAACUACGUG
Molecule: ribosomal RNA, 482 nt
Filed under: uncultured bacterium
Lineage: Bacteria
Description: partial 16S ribosomal RNA
Rfam family: Bacterial small subunit ribosomal RNA
Source: RNAcentral